Molecule: ribosomal RNA, 730 nt
Filed under: uncultured Staphylococcus sp.
Lineage: Bacteria; Bacillati; Bacillota; Bacilli; Caryophanales; Staphylococcaceae
Description: bacterial SSU rRNA
Rfam family: Bacterial small subunit ribosomal RNA
Source: RNAcentral
CGAACAGACGAGGAGCUUGCUCCUCUGACGUUAGCGGCGGACGGGUGAGUAACACGUGGAUAACCUACCUAUAAGACUGGGAUAACUUCGGGAAACCGGAGCUAAUACCGGAUAAUAUAUUGAACCGCAUGGUUCAAUAGUGAAGGACGGUUUUGCUGUCACUUAUAGAUGGAUCCGCGCCGCAUUAGCUAGUUGGUAAGGUAACGGCUUACCAAGGCAACGAUGCGUAGCCGACCUGAGAGGGUGAUCGGCCACACUGGAACUGAGACACGGUCCAGACUCCUACGGGAGGCAGCAGUAGGGAAUCUUCCGCAAUGGGCGAAAGCCUGACGGAGCAACGCCGCGUGAGUGAUGAAGGUCUUCGGAUCGUAAAACUCUGUUAUUAGGGAAGAACAAAUGUGUAAGUAACUAUGCACGUCUUGACGGUACCUAAUCAGAAAGCCACGGCUAACUACGUGCCAGCAGCCGCGGUAAUACGUAGGUGGCAAGCGUUAUCCGGAAUUAUUGGGCGUAAAGCGCGCGUAGGCGGUUUUUUAAGUCUGAUGUGAAAGCCCACGGCUCAACCGUGGAGGGUCAUUGGAAACUGGAAAACUUGAGUGCAGAAGAGGAAAGUGGAAUUCCAUGUGUAGCGGUGAAAUGCGCAGAGAUAUGGAGGAACACCAGUGGCGAAGGCGACUUUCUGGUCUGUAACUGACGCUGAUGUGCGAAAGCGUGGGGAUCAAACAGGAUU